This is a long non-coding RNA of Bos taurus (domestic cattle), 797 nucleotides long. Lineage: Eukaryota; Metazoa; Chordata; Mammalia; Artiodactyla; Bovidae. The record is from Ensembl.
UCACAGGCUAGUUCCAGGGGGAAGGAGAGGCGGACGGUGGCUCCAGAUGGUGUCUGGGCUGGGGAAGGUGCUCUGACCUCUCUGAGUUCAAGGCUGAGACAGGACAAACAUGCCGGUCUUUAAAGGGUGGAAAGGCUGUCCUCAAAAUGAUAAUGAUGACAGCAGGGCUCGUUGAGUGCCUUCUACAUGUGGGGCGACUACUCUAAACACUCACUUUCCGCAUAGCUGAUCCUUAGAACUCUAUUACAUUUCCUAUUCUACAGAAAGGUCCAUUCUGCUCAAGUGUGGUCUUCAGAGUGUUGCUCCACGUUCUCAGUGGGACUCCUGUUCUCUCCCCAUUUUCAUCAUGAGAAAAUGAUGCCUAAGAGUUGAUGGAAAUUCCUCUGAUGUUGGCCGGAAGUCUCUCAGGCUCAUUUGCCUCUUGUGUUAUCUAGUCUGCAGGGCCUAGUUGGGGACUGGAGGAACCACGGUUUUGCAACGGAGAAGGGGAGUGUGCAGCUGCAGGGGCUUCUAGGGAAAAGAUGGGAAGAGACCAAGGGGAUCCUUGAAGUUGCCCCUUCUCCAUCUGUUGCCACUAAAUGCCACCCCUUUGCUACCCCAUUGACACAUCUUGCCCCAGUGCUGUCUUCCCCUGUCUCCUCCACCCUUGCCCACUAUGCUCAGCUGGACUUGGGGCCCCUGUCGUGUGUAAUCAUGGAAAGAGAAGAGCUAGCUUCAGUUAGACACCAAAGAUCCCAGGUGCAGCCUGGCUGUCCCAGGCUGACCACGGAUAGCCACGCAAGUCAGGCUCAUCAGUC